Pipistrellus kuhlii (Kuhl's pipistrelle) is the source of this 289-nucleotide long non-coding RNA. RefSeq lists it as uncharacterized. The transcript has 3 exons. NCBI's taxonomy places the organism in Eukaryota, Metazoa, Chordata, Mammalia, Chiroptera, Vespertilionidae. The record is from RefSeq and is a predicted model, not a curated record.
UGCUGCGCCCUGAUGUGGAGACAGCGUCAACACCCACAACCUGUGUCUUUAUUUUAUAGCAGAUGCCACAAGGCAAAGUGAGGGCGUGGUCAAGAUGUUUACAACAUCCUCGUGGGUUUCAAUCCCACUUAACUACAUGCACCCGAUCAAGCUUUGUUUCCUUGCAGCCUAUCUCACUCAGGCACGUGGGGCCAUGUGUUCGGACCACAGGUUCAAGCUUACAACUAGAGCUGUUGGCUAUAAUUGUGCUGGGAGGGUUCUGCCCUCCAAGCUGGGAUUUGCAUGUGGC